CGUUAUUAUCAUUAUUACGAAAUAGAAAUAGAUAUCCGAGAAUCAAUCCUUCAUUCUUAACUAGGGUUUGUAAAUUCUCUUUCAAGUUUCAAAGAAAAAAAAACAGAGACAGAGACCGAGAAAUCAUUGAUCAAAGAUGUUUCCAGGAAUGUUUAUGAGAAAACCAGACAAAAAAGAAGCAUUAAAGCAGCUUCGUGUCCAUGUUGCUUUGUUUGGUGGGUGGGUCGCUGCUAUUCGGGUCGCCCCAUAUCUUCUUCAUUACUUUUCUGAAUCCAAAGAUGAGCUUGUUCUAGAUUUCUAGACCCCCUUUUUUAUUUUAAUAAGCUAUGUGGUGCUAAUGCAAUAUGGAAGAAGCACGAUGGGGACAAAUCUUAUAGAGGCUAGUUUAUUUUCUUGAGAUAAUGAUCUGUUCUAGUCCAGUAAACUAGUAGAGCAAGUGCAUCCUGGUCCAGAACUACAUGUGGAGCAUAUUCUUUUGUCUUGUGAUAGUUUUGACAAUUGAUGGGGAGGAGAAGUGACAUUUGAUGUAGUGUGGCAAUCGUAAAAUGUAUUGUCAAUAUGUAGAUGUUUGACUGUCACUUUUGCCAUGAUAACUCAUUCAUAAAUAGUGCCACGCUAAAUGCUUAGCUGUCGUUUCUUCGUGUAACUAUCUAGACAUUUUUAAUGCAGUUAUCCAAUUAUUCCUGCCA
RNA transcript from Erigeron canadensis, 689 nucleotides. It is a transcript of the gene named mitochondrial import receptor subunit TOM6 homolog, with no coding region annotated. The record is from RefSeq and is a predicted model, not a curated record. NCBI's taxonomy places the organism in Eukaryota, Viridiplantae, Streptophyta, Magnoliopsida, Asterales, Asteraceae. The transcript is spliced from 3 exons.